AGUGAACGCUGGCGGUAGGCCUAACACAUGCAAGUCGAACGGCAGCACAGUAAGAGCUUGCUCUUACGGGUGGCGAGUGGCGGACGGGUGAGGAAUACAUCGAAAUCUACUUUUUCGUGGGGGAUAACGUAGGGAAACUUACGCUAAUACCGCAUACGACCUACGGGUGAAAGCAGGGGAUCUUCGGACCUUGCGCGAUUGAAUGAGCCGAUGUCGGAUUAGCUAGUUGGCGGGGUAAAGGCCCACCAAGGCGACGAUCCGUAGCUGGUCUGAGAGGAUGAUCAGCCACACUGGAACUGAGACACGGUCCAGACUCCUACGGGAGGCAGCAGUGGGGAAUAUUGGACAAGGGGCGCAAGCCUGAUCCAGCCAUACCGCGUGGGUGAAGAAGGCCUUCGGGUUGUAAAGCCCUUUUGUUGGGAAAGAAAGGCAGCAGGUUAAUACCCCGCUGUUCUGACGGUACCCAAAGAAUAAGCACCGGCUAACUUCGUG
RNAcentral lists this ribosomal RNA (492 nucleotides) under uncultured bacterium. RNAcentral describes it as "partial 16S ribosomal RNA". It matches the Rfam family "Bacterial small subunit ribosomal RNA", at positions 29 to 507 of the family's 1533-position model. The record is from RNAcentral.